AGCAGCCGCGGUAAUUCCAGCUCCAAUAGCGUAUAUUAAAGUUGCUGCAGUUAAAAAGCUCGUAGUUGAAUUUCGGGAUCAAUAUGUUGGUCGUGCCUCGGUACGUACUAGCUUAUUGGUUUCUCCCUUCUGACGAACCAUGAUGUCAUUUAUUUGGUGUUAUGGGAAAUCAGGACUGUUACUUUGAAAAAAUUAGAGUGUUUAAAGCAGGCUCACGCUUGAAUACAUUAGCAUGGAAUAAUGAAAUAGGACGUUUGAUUCUAUUUUGUUGGUUUCUAGGAUCGACGUAAUGAUUAAUAGGGAUAGUUGGGGGCAUUAGUAUUCAAUUGUCAGAGGUGAAAUUCUUGGAUUUAUUGAAGACUAACUACUGCGAAAGCAUUUGCCAAGGAUGUUUUCAUUAAUCAAGAACGAAAGUUAGGGGAUCGAAGACGAUCAGAUACCGUCGUAGUCUUAACCAUAAACUAUGCCGACUAGGGAUCGGGAUGAUGUUAAUUUUUAAUGUA
Molecule: ribosomal RNA, 503 nt
Filed under: uncultured Glomus
Lineage: Eukaryota; Fungi; Glomeromycota; Glomeromycetes; Glomerales; Glomeraceae
Description: SSU rRNA
Rfam family: Eukaryotic small subunit ribosomal RNA
Source: RNAcentral